UGGGGAAUCUUGCACAAUGGGGGCAACCCUGAUGCAGCGACGCCGCGUGAGCGAUGAAGCCCUUCGGGGCGUAAAGCUCUUUCGACCGGAACGAUAAUGACGGUACCGGGAGAAGAAGCUGCGGCUAACUACGUGCCAGCAGCCGCGGUAAUACGUAGGCAGCAAGCGUUGUUCGGAGUUACUGGGCGUAAAGAGUGCGUAGGCGGUGUUCUAAGUUCGGUGUGAAAUCUCCCGGCUGAACUGGGAGGGUGCGCCGAAGACUGGGAAGCUGGAGUGUGGGAAAGGCAGGCGGAAGUCCUGGUGUAGCGGUGAAAUGCGUAGAUAUCAGGAGGAACACCGGCGGUGUAGACGGCUUGCUAGACCAUAACUGACGCUGAGGCACGAAAGCGUGGGUAGCAAACA
Molecule: ribosomal RNA, 402 nt
Filed under: uncultured bacterium
Lineage: Bacteria
Description: bacterial SSU rRNA
Rfam family: Bacterial small subunit ribosomal RNA
Source: RNAcentral